UUUCGACCUCCAUAAUAGUUUCAGAUGUCGACUGUUAUACCGAGAGCCCAAAUCCCUGAAAGAAGGGUUGUGAAGUAAAAAUUCAAUCUUUUCAAUUCGUUACAUUUGGAUGUUUAUGUUCCCCGGUUUCGUUUUAGGAGGCUAAGGGAAUGGCUUAUCGACCGAACAUCACGGCUCGAGCAAAGUUUUUCUACCAACAACAACGAGUUCCAUCGUUUUCCCAUGUGCAGCUUCUAAGACCGAAAUUGGAGGCAAUUAAGGAAGAAAUGGAAGAGAGGGUUAACUUUACAGAACAUGAGUCCAGCUGCAGUUGCUGAGGGUCAAGCAAGAAUGAGAAGUCUAUUUAAAGAUUGAAUGCCCAAGAAGGUUUGGAAGGCAAUCCCUCUGCUGGUAUGAUCAAGAAUAUCUCCAGCGGCUUUGCUGUACUGACUGUCCCACUGACUGCAGUAUUUCCCAAUGCAUACUUUGUUACUGGAGAUUCAGAAGGAAGUCAAAGGGCACAAGAGAGGAAAGAAAAAGGUUACAACAUAACACAAAUGGUAAUAUUAAUAUGUAACUGAAUGAAGAAAUAUCUUAUUAAAGGGAAUAAUGGCAAUCCAUUGUUUAAAAUGGAGUUUUGAACAUCAUAUCUCUCAUUUUCAUCCUUGAUUGUUUAGUUAAUUGUUGAAGUCCUAUCAAGAUUGCAGUUGAUGCCGAUAGAUCUGUGAAAAGUCUUUUAUAUGUUUGUGUGAAUCUGAACUGGCAUUCCUUUCCUUAUUUCUUCCCCAUUAAUUGAUUCCUUUGAAUUGAAUCCCAAUAACCCUUUCCUUCACCUUCACAUCUAACUACCUAUGUUGAAUGUUUGUCAUAAUAAUAUAAAUUUCAUUUCACCUAGAAUCUGGCAGCUUGGUUGCUUGUUUUGUUUCAAUUAGACC
RNA transcript from Andrographis paniculata, 914 nucleotides. It is a transcript of the gene named mitochondrial inner membrane protein OXA1-like, with no coding region annotated. The record is from RefSeq and is a predicted model, not a curated record. The transcript is spliced from 4 exons. NCBI's taxonomy places the organism in Eukaryota, Viridiplantae, Streptophyta, Magnoliopsida, Lamiales, Acanthaceae.